This 200-nucleotide ribosomal RNA is filed under the name uncultured bacterium. RNAcentral describes it as "partial 16S ribosomal RNA". It matches the Rfam family "Bacterial small subunit ribosomal RNA", at positions 28 to 230 of the family's 1533-position model. The record is from RNAcentral.
GAUGAACGCUAGCGGCAGGCAUAAUACAUGCAAGUUGAACGGGAUCCAUCAGCAAUGGUGGUGAGAGUGGCGCACGGGUGCGUAACACGUAUGCAACCUGCCUCAACCGGGGAAUAGCCCGUGGAAACAUGGAUUAAUAUCCCAUAAGAUAGUAGAUAGGCAUCUAUCAGCUAUUAAAACUCCGGUGGUUUGAGAUGGGC